CCCAUUGAAAAGAAUCUACAUUUCAACAGGAUUCCCAGGUGACAGUAGCACAACAUUGGAGAAGCUCUGGUCUAGAGAACAUCCCACUUCACGGAUGUGGAAAGCGAGGCCCAGGAAGGGUGUGACCUAGCGAUCUUUUUAGAGAGGAAGUAUAGGAGGCCACAUGCAGACAACAGGAAAGUAUCUGGAACCAGGUCACCUCCUGUCUUCAUCACUGUCUCUCUCCCUGGAGCACUGGGGCUUCUCACUGCUGCUGUACGUCUGAGUCACUUCGGGUUCUCCAGGGAUCAAGCCAAAAAUGGCAGCUCAAACGGCAGCUUCAGCUCCUCGGUCGACAUAGCCUCUAGCGAACUGAUCGUGGCUUCCUAUCCCCAAGUACACAGCUGGAAAAUUGGAAGGAUUCGGCAAGGACUGGCCAGCUGCUACAUCUGGAGGCCCUUUUUGAGAAGACUCCUGGUCUGUAGAAGAAAGAAACCACGAGACUGGAAGGGCUUGCAGCCUCAUCACUUCCCGAGUUGGCCACUCGGCCUGUUGCUCUGACUUGGCCCCACGAGGGAGAGGGAGGAGGCCUGUGGUUCCUUUCCAGAUUUACCCCAUGUCUUCCCUCUGUGUCCAGGAAGUCACAAAUGGGGCCAAGAAACGGAUAGUUGAACUUGAGAAGGAAAACACUGGAGGCCUCAUCCAACCCAGAAGUCAUAAAGGAACAGCAGGAAAGGUCUAUAAUGCAUGGGGAGAGGAUGAAGGGAUCUGCCCAGAGUCUCAGGGCCAGAAAAGGAAGACCUGGCUCGUGGGAGUCGCUGCCCCAUGCUCAUUCCUCCAGGCCCAGGCCGCUCCCCAGAGGAGCCCCUCUGCCCCAGGAGGGCU
Mirounga angustirostris (Northern elephant seal) is the source of this 864-nucleotide long non-coding RNA. RefSeq lists it as uncharacterized. NCBI's taxonomy places the organism in Eukaryota, Metazoa, Chordata, Mammalia, Carnivora, Phocidae. The record is from RefSeq and is a predicted model, not a curated record. The transcript is spliced from 4 exons.